UAAAAAAUAAGCUAAAAUUAAGCUAAUGAGUUCAUACCUCAUUUAUAAAGAAUAAAAUCUUUUUUUUUAA
RNAcentral lists this transfer RNA (70 nucleotides) under Silvatares holzenthali. RNAcentral's name for it is "tRNA-Met". The record is from RNAcentral. Lineage: Eukaryota; Metazoa; Arthropoda; Insecta; Trichoptera; Pisuliidae.